GGGGCGGUGGCGGAAUUGGCAGACGCGACGGACUUAAAAUCCGUUUCCCUCGGGAAUGUGGGUUCGACCCCCACCCGCCCUA
This 82-nucleotide transfer RNA is filed under the name Anaerolineales bacterium. RNAcentral describes it as "tRNA-Leu". It matches the Rfam family "tRNA". Rfam says of the family: Transfer RNA (tRNA) molecules are approximately 80 nucleotides in length. The record is from RNAcentral. Lineage: Bacteria; Bacillati; Chloroflexota; Anaerolineae; Anaerolineales.